RNAcentral lists this small RNA (107 nucleotides) under Marmota monax (woodchuck). Lineage: Eukaryota; Metazoa; Chordata; Mammalia; Rodentia; Sciuridae. The record is from RNAcentral.
GCCGGGCAGGGUGGUGCAUACCUGUAAUCCCAGUGGCUCAGGAGGCUGAGGCAGGAGAAUUGUGAAUUCAAAGCCAGCUUCAGCAACUCAUCGAGGCCCUGUCUCAA